CCUACGGGGGACAGCAGUGAGGAAUAUUGGUCAAUGGGCGCGAGCCUGAACCAGCCAAGUAGCGUGAAGGAUGACUGCCCUACGGGUUGUAAACUUCUUUUAUAAGGGAAUAAAGUGAGGCACGUGUGCCUUUUUGUAUGUACUUUAUGAAUAAGGAUCGGCUAACUCCGUGCCAGCAGCCGCGGUAAUACGGAGGAUCCGAGCGUUAUCCGGAUUUAUUGGGUUGAAAGGGAGAGGAGAGGGGUUGUUAAGUCAGGUGUGAAAGUGUGCGGCUCAACCGUAAAAUUGCAAUUGAUACUGGCAGCCUUGAGUACAGUUGAGGUAGGCGGAAUUCGUGGUGUAGCGGUGAAAUGCUUAGAUAUAACGAAGAACUCCGAUUGCGAAGGCAGCUUACUAAGCUGCUACUGACAUUGAUGCUCGAAAGUGUGGGUAUCAAACAGGAUUAGAUACCCUAGUAGUC
This 460-nucleotide ribosomal RNA is filed under the name uncultured bacterium. Its description in RNAcentral is "partial 16S ribosomal RNA". It matches the Rfam family "Bacterial small subunit ribosomal RNA", at positions 338 to 795 of the family's 1533-position model. The record is from RNAcentral.